Molecule: ribosomal RNA, 566 nt
Filed under: uncultured bacterium
Lineage: Bacteria
Description: bacterial SSU rRNA
Rfam family: Bacterial small subunit ribosomal RNA
Source: RNAcentral
CCUACGGGAGGCAGCAGUAGGGAAUCUUGCGCAAUGGGCGAAAGCCUGACGCAGCCACGCCACGUGUGGGACGACGGCCCUCGGGUUGUAAACCACUUUCAGCAGGGACGAAAAUGACGGUACCUGCAGAAGAAGCCCCGGCCAACUACGUGCCAGCAGCCGCGGUAACACGUAGGGGGCGAGCGUUGUCCGGAAUUACUGGGCGUAAAGGGCUCGUAGGCGGUUUGGUAAGUCAGAUGUGAAAACUCCGGGCUCAACCCGGAGACGCCAUCUGAAACUGCCAUGACUAGAGUUUGGUAGAGGAGUGCAGAAUUCUCGGUGUAGCGGUGAAAUGCGCAGAUAUCGGGAGGAAUACCAGUCAGCGAAGGCGGCACUCUGGGCCACAACUGACGCUGAGGAGCGAAAGCGUGGGGAGCGAACAGGAUUAGAUACCCUGGUAGUCCACGCCGUAAACGGUGGGCAUUAGGUGUGGGGCCCUGUCAACGGGUUCCGUACACGUAGCUAACGCGUUAAAUGCCCCGCCUGGGGAGUACGGCCGCAAGGCUAAAACUCAAAGGAAUUGACGG